This 621-nucleotide ribosomal RNA is filed under the name Tomentella sp. kz39. Its description in RNAcentral is "eukaryotic LSU rRNA". The stretch from base 185 to 339 matches the Rfam family "5.8S ribosomal RNA". The record is from RNAcentral. Lineage: Eukaryota; Fungi; Basidiomycota; Agaricomycetes; Thelephorales; Thelephoraceae.
AGCUGUUGCUGACCCUCGAAAGGGGACAUGUGCACGCUCUGUCUACACAUCCACUCACACCUGUGCACCCUCUGUAGUUCCAUGGCCUGGGGACCCUGUCCCCUUGCUGCGGUCCUACGUAUUUACACACACACACAGUAACAAAGUCUCAUGGAAUGCAGUCGCGUUUAACGCAAUACAAUACAACUUUCAGCAACGGAUCUCUUGGCUCUCGCAUCGAUGAAGAACGCAGCGAAAUGCGAUAAGUAAUGUGAAUUGCAGAAUUCAGUGAAUCAUCGAAUCUUUGAACGCACCUUGCGCCCUUUGGCUAUUCUGAAGGGCAUGCCUGUUUGAGUAUCAUGAACACCUCAACUCUCGUGGCCCGCCACGAUGAGCUUGGACUUUGGGGGUCUUGCCGGCCUAGCGUCGGCUCCUCUCAAAUGGAUCAGCUUGCCAGUGUUUGGUGGCGUCACAGGUGUGAUAACUAUCUACGCUUGUGGUUUUCUACCAUGUAACCUUCAGUGAUGGAGGUUCGCUGGGGCUCACAGAUGUCUCUCCCUGGGGAGGACAGCUUUUUGAACGUUUGAUCUCAAAUCAKGUAGGACUACCCCGCUGAACUUAAGCAUAUCAAUAAGCGGAGGA